This 252-nucleotide ribosomal RNA is filed under the name uncultured bacterium. Its description in RNAcentral is "partial 16S ribosomal RNA". It matches the Rfam family "Bacterial small subunit ribosomal RNA", at positions 525 to 776 of the family's 1533-position model. The record is from RNAcentral.
ACAGAGGGUGCAAACGUUGUUCGGAAUUACUGGGCAUAAAGCGUACGUAGGCGGCGCGUAAAGUGCAUGGUGAAAUCCCACGGCUCACCCGUGGAACUGCUGUGCAUACUGGCGCGCUAGAGGACGGUAGGGGAGUGCGGAACUCUUGGUGGAGCGGUGAAAUGCGUAGAUAUCAAGAGGAACACCGAUGGCGAAGGCAGCACUCUGGUCCGUUUCUGACGCUGAGGUACGAAAGCUAGGGUAGCGAACGGG